UCCAGACUCCUACGGGAGGCAGCAGUGAGGAAUAUUGGUCAAUGGCCGAGAGUCUGAACCAGCCAAGUAGCGUGAAGGAUGACUGCCCUAUGGGUUGUAAACUUCUUUUAUAUGGGAAUAAAACAGGGUAUGCAUACCCUCUUGUAUGUACCAUAUGAAUAAGGAUCGGCUAACUCCGUGCCAGCAGCCGCGGUAAUACGGAGGAUCCGAGCGUUAUCCGGAUUUAUUGGGUUUAAAGGGAGCGUAGGUGGAUUGUUAAGUCAGUUGUGAAAGUUUGCGGCUCAACCGUAAAAUUGCAGUUGAAACUGGCAGUCUUGAGUACAGUAGAGGUGGGCGGAAUUCGUGGUGUAGCGGUGAAAUGCUUAGAUAUCACGAAGAACUCCGAUUGCGAAGGCAGCAUACCGGCGCCCAACUGACGCUGAAGCACGAAAGCGUGGGUAUCGAACAGGAUUAUAUACCCGAGUAA
RNAcentral lists this ribosomal RNA (466 nucleotides) under uncultured bacterium. Its description in RNAcentral is "bacterial SSU rRNA". It matches the Rfam family "Bacterial small subunit ribosomal RNA", at positions 330 to 793 of the family's 1533-position model. The record is from RNAcentral.